AGGUCAAUGGAAUCUGCCCAACC
RNAcentral lists this non-coding RNA (23 nucleotides) under Arabidopsis thaliana (thale cress). The record is from RNAcentral. Lineage: Eukaryota; Viridiplantae; Streptophyta; Magnoliopsida; Brassicales; Brassicaceae.